Molecule: ribosomal RNA, 468 nt
Filed under: uncultured bacterium
Lineage: Bacteria
Description: partial 16S ribosomal RNA
Rfam family: Bacterial small subunit ribosomal RNA
Source: RNAcentral
GACGAACGCUGGCGGCGUGCUUAACACAUGCAAGUCGAACGGAAAGGCCCUGCUUUUGCGGGGUGCUCGAGUGGCGAACGGGUGAGUAACACGUGAGUAACCUGCCCUUGACUUUGGGAUAACUUCAGGAAACUGGGGCUCAUAUCGGGUAGGAGCUCCUGCUGCAUGUGGGGGGUUGGAAAGUUUCGGCGGUUGGGGAUGGACUCGCGGGUUAUCCGCUUGUUGGGGUGGUAGGGGCUGACGAAGGCUUUGACGGGUAGCCGGCCUGAGAGGGUUACCGGCGACAUUGGGACUGAGAUAGGGCCCAGACUCCUACGGGAGGCAGCAGGGGGGAAUAUUGCACAAUGGGCGGAAGCGUGAGGCAGCAACGCCGCGUGCGGGAUGACGGCCUUCGGGUUGUAAACCGAUUUCGCCUGUGACGAAGCGUGAGUGACGGUAAUGGGUAAAGAAGCACCGGCUAACUACGUG